This 1550-nucleotide long non-coding RNA is filed under the name Anas zonorhyncha (Eastern spot-billed duck). Its description in RNAcentral is "lncRNA (ENSAZOG00000015501.1)". The record is from RNAcentral. Lineage: Eukaryota; Metazoa; Chordata; Aves; Anseriformes; Anatidae.
GGGUUGUCUUUAGGGCAUUAGUGAAUUUCAGGAAUUUCACUGGAGGCCAGAGACAGUCUCUCAGUUAGGCAGGUAGCAGAUCUGAUAGAGUUUAGGUCAAGAAUUACACAUUUCAACCUGCAUGUAGCUUCUACAUGCUAUGAAAUUCUUUCUUAAAUGUGUUCAUGGUCAACUGCUCUACUUCACAUUCUGCAUAAAUUCUCUCUAAGUUGCUGUCUUGUCCUGUUCUGUUUUUAAGAUGAAUACAUGCCCUCUCUUGAGGUUUGCAGCAACUGACCAAACACUGACAGAAGAUAAUGAAUGCAGUUAACAUGUGAUAUGAAGAAGAGAUCGCUGUGCUUACCAAAAACAUCCAUGACAGACUAAGCAUAUGGGAUCAGAGGAAAGAACAUCCUGUACGCUGUCCAAGAGAAACCAGGCAGGCCUCUGCGUACCUAGGAAACCUAACAUAAUUAAUGCAAUACAGUUUACAGAGAUGGACGUGCACAUACAAUGCCAGGCAUAUAGUGAAGGUAUGAAAUUAUAUACACAUUUUAUUGCAUUCAGGCAUCUCUGAAAACACAGUAGCUCACUGCAAAAACUUGAUCAAUAAAACCAAUACAAGCCCUCUUGCUACCUUCUCUUGCCUCAAAAGAAUUUUAUAAUCUUCAAAAGACUUUUUAAAUCUUAAAUCUUUUAAGGUCUUUAUAAUCUUAAAAAUAAGCAAGUGCUGGGAACAGCACUGCAACCCCAGCUACUCACAAAUGGCAGCUUUCAAACUCCAAAGGCUAGUUAAAAGGGUUGAAUUCUGUCCAGAGGCUUGUUGUUACCUGUUUAUCAGCAAUAACUGUGGGUAAACGUAGCACAAUUACUGGAAAAGUGAAUACAAAUUACUUUUGCUACAGAAGACUAGUCAUUAGACUUCAGAGGAAAGGAAUAGAAUUACUUUUAAUCUGACUUCUCUUUUAUCAUUUUUUCUUUCCUUUGAGGAAGGGAAAAUGAGAGAAGAUCACACUCAGUAACUGUGGAACUCAAUGUGCACUGGCUAUUAGCUGUAAACAAGAAACUGUCUCCAGUCCCAUGCUGUCAGAAGUCUAUUGCAUAUUUUACUGUAGACAGUAUAAAACAACUACCUGGUCAAGUUCAUUAAAACAGGUUUAAAGCCCAACAUAAACCUUCUGUUUCUCAAAUGCAGAAUCUUAAAAGAAUCCUAAAUUAACUUGUUGAAAUCCCGAUAAUUUAUUUCUUAGCAACUGAACGGAUGUUGACUGCUGGCUGGUGGGAGCUCUCUGAUGAACGCUAAAUAGCUGGCAUUUAGAACUGGAUAAAAAUAUCACAGUUUCGAUGUGAGGAAAAAUAAAUACCUAAGGUUUUACUAACACCAACUGAGAGUUCAGCAUGCCAGAAGAUAGCUGUGAAAGCUGCCAGAGUCCCGUAUAGCUCCCAGUACACUCUAUGCGCCUUUUCACUGGAAGGAUGGCAAAGUGGUGAAAGUUAGCCAUGGUUUGAGAGAAUUUUGGCUGGGAAAAUCUGUGAGGUUUUACUCCCACAGAAUAUAAUUAUCAAAUGUG